Molecule: non-coding RNA, 5602 nt
Organism: Equus caballus (horse)
Lineage: Eukaryota; Metazoa; Chordata; Mammalia; Perissodactyla; Equidae
Source: RefSeq, a predicted model, not a curated record
GACCAGCCCCCAUCCAGGAGCCCACCCAGAGUCACCUCAUUAGAACAAAGGAUGCUCCCAGAGCCCUUAACGCUUAGGAAACUAUAUGGGUUUUAGAAACUCCGUACCAGGAACGGGCGGCAGAGACCAAUAUCUGUAUAUAUUUUAUUGUCUCACAGUAACCUUCUUCAUCCUGAGUCUCAGCUUAAACGACAUCCUCAGGAAGGCCUCCCUGACCCCCUAGACAGAGUUUGGACCCUUAUCACACCCUUGCGCAGUACCGUGAAGCCCUUCUCCAUAGCCCUCCCCACAGUUAUAAUGUUACGUCUAUGAUGUCUCUUAACAUCUCCUCCCCAUAGGCUAUCCGCUCCAUGAGGGCUGGGCAUGUCUUUUUCCCCCACUUAUUUCCGCAGAACCUGGCAUUUGUUGGAUAGACAAAGGGAGGAUUCUGGAAGGUGGGAUCUGCCCUCACUCCCCUAUCCUCCACACCUUCCUCCAGAUCCUGUGAGAAUGGCCCUCCCUGGGGUAGGGGAGAGGGUCCUGGGGACUCCAGAUCCCUGGGCUCCCUGUUUGUCUGGGUCACGGCCUCUUCCUUGUGACCUUGAGCCAUAUAAUCGUGUGAGUCUAAAGCGUGUGCCCUCACCUCCACGAAUCCCUCAGCCUGGUUUCCAGAGGUGCUGCAAAACUCGCAUUCGAUGCGAUCAGUUCAGGAAAGCUGCAAUACCAAACCUGGCUCUGAGUAACACACAGGCCACAGCAACAGCUCCUGCCGCCUCUUAGCCUCAGUUUCCCCAGCUGCAAUAAAAAGGGAUUGAAGUAGAAGGUCAAAGGUCCCCCCACUCUACCUGUCAGGAUUUCUCCAUCUUCCUCAACUCUGGGGCCCUGUCCCACAGCCCAGCACUUCUUCCCUCUGUCGCCUCCACUGAGUAUGUCUCACCCAUGCCCGGCCUGGGCAUUGCACAAAUUUGAAUUUUCAUACACAUGGAGGCGACGGGAGGGCCUGGGGGCCUGGGGGCCUGGGAAGGGGAACUUGGCUCGUCGAGCGCAGGCACCGUGCUCAGUGUGGGACGCGCGUUGUUUCAUGAAGCUCACAGUACCCCGAGAGAUGUAGGUUGUCUCGUUCUUUGCACUUGACAGACAAGAGAACUGCCACCGAGAACGGUGAAGCAGUGUGCCCAAAGUCCUGCAGCUGGGAAGAGACUGAACCAGGGUCGGAGGUUCCAACAAACCCCCCCUCGGUGCUGCCGGGAGCAGGAAGCCCCGGGUCAAGUUCCCUUUCUCAGGGGCCUCUCUCGAGCCCUGCCUGCAGGAACUCCCUGUUAUGUCAUCUCAUUGCCCUUACUUCCUCUAAGGGUUUGGGAUUCUUGUUGAAAUGUGACUUCAGUUUGGUGGCAUCUCCUCCCAACACCACUGGGGGGUCACUGGGUUCAGGGCGGAGACCCUCUGGGUGGCACAGGUGAAGGGAGGGACACAGCCCCUGGACUCAGGCUGGAGGCUAACACCACCUGCGUAUUCAGCGGCGCAGGCUCCAAGGAUCCAGGGAGGGAAGCAAGGAGAAAGAGCUUCAUAACGCAUUUCAGCUCAGUGCCGUCCACAUUUCUGGCCUACUGUGGGUUUGCUGGGAACCUGGUAAACAUGGCAGAUAAUCUCUACCCUCCCUGCCUUCAGGUGGGGACCCAGUGGGUGAGGGUUACUCAAGCACACCUUCCUUCCGUAGCCUGGGGACCGGGGACGGCUGCCCAGAGGAAGCGACGGCUGAGCUGAGGAUGAGCGAGAGACGAGGGGGUAGGGCAGCAGAGAGGAUGCACAUUGAGGAACUGAAAGAAGUUUCGAGUGGGAGUGGGCCUUGGAGGCCCCAGAGGGAGUGGGAGCAGGCUCUGAGAGACCCCAGUAAGGAGUUUGCCUUUUGACCCAUGGGUUUUGGGCAUGAGUUCCUGAUUGAUCAAAAUGAGGAGUGAUGUGGUGUGAACUGCAUUUUAGCCAGACUGGUGAAGGUAUGGAAGGUGGCUCGGCGGGCAGGGAGGGGCUGCUGCUGUGCUCAAGGAGAGAGGAGGGAAGGCCCACCUGGGCUGGUGGGCAGAUGGGAAAGGCAUUUAGGAGGCAGAAUGGAGAGUUGAGGAAUGGAGGGAGCCCAUGGGGUCUGGGUUAAGGCACCCACCCCUCCCAUCUGCUUCCAGCUCUGGUCAAAGUCUGGUGCAGGCAGGUGGCUGAAACAAGGAGGACAAGGCUGGCCACUGGGACAAGGAGGAAAUGCACCAGCCAGUGCCAGGCUUGCCUCCCAAGCCCUGCUGUCUGUGAGCUGCUGAUGGUGACCUUGUGUUUGGACUUGCUUUGAUGACCGCCCACUUCAGCCUCAGUUCUGAGCUUUCCCAGAAUAACAGGGGCCUGGGGCCUGGGGCUAGGUGGCUGUCUCCACCUGUAGGUGGGCGUUUGGUUUCAGAGUGGCUACCGCUGCAGCUGUCUGUGCUGGGUGCCCCGCAGAGCCUCCCCACUGCUUUCUAAAGAAGCCUGGAGCAGUGAACUAUAAGAGAGACGGGAGACCUCUGUCCCAGCAAGUGAUUCCAGCCCCUGGGGGCUCCAGGGGCAAGGUGGAAGUCCUCAGAAUCCUCCUCUCUGCCAAGGCUUCGGUACCUGUCCAUGUCGCUCUUCCAAGCCUGUGUGUCCAGCCUGACCCUGGGCUUCAGGUGUAUAGACAACUCCCCACUUGACAUCUCCCCUGAUGUCCGAUGGCAUGAAGUUCCUCACACUCAGCACCUCCCCCGUAACCUGCUCCUCCCAUGUCCCCCUCUGCAGUGAAUGGCACCUCUGAACACCCGGAUACCCAGACGAGGGACCCAGGAGCCCUGAGGGUGCGCACCCGUUACCGUAGUGGCUCCGAGCACGGGAGCAGGGCCCCGCCUGCUGGCUGACUCUGGAACUGCACCUCUGCCCCUGUUCGGAAGUCGAAUCCUUGGAAUCCAAUUACCCCUGCGGAACCGGAAGUGGUUUUACUCCAUGGCAACAGACCCCACCCAAACUCAGCAGAUUGGCUGUUGAGAGAGCAGAACACCUGUCUCCCCCGCUUCGAGGAGACUCAGCUGAGGGCAGGGGCUGCCUUGUUCACCUGCCGCCGGGGGGCUUUUCUGACAUCUGAAUCUGACCGCUCACUGCCGCUGCCUGAAAUCUCCCGAAGGAAGCCUUCUGCACUCUGGGUGGGGGGUGUGAGUGUGAGACGUACAUGUCUCUGAAUUUUCCACUAUUUCUACACGGGCAUGCCUUCACUAAUUUUUUUAAUUCUUUUUUUAAGUAAAGGAAAAAAAUCCUUCAGUGGCUUCCUGGUACUUUCAAAUUCCUGGGUAAAGCCUACAGGGCGAGAUCUGGCCUCUGCCUUUCUGACCCCUCCCUCCCCCCACCCACCAGCCAUCCCCAGGGCCUCCUUCCACGCCUCUCUCUCACUGGUUCCUUUGCCUGGAGAACUUUGGUCCACACUCCUCCACAUAGCGAAUCCCUAUUUGCUCUUCAAUGCUCGGCUCAAAUGUCGUCUCCCUAGAAGCCUCUCCGACCUGCAGGGUCUUGCUUGUCUCUGCUGUCCUCACCCUGUCCAUCCCUCCAUUAAAGCUCUCGGCAGUCCACCGCGCUGGAAGUGUGCCCAUUUCCCUCUCUAAGGCAGGCCUCUUGGAGGCAGGGGGAGUGCACUCCCGUAUGCUCAGUCCACGUUAGUGGAAAGAAGUGAGGCCCCACUGCCAUGGUUGCUCACAAGCAAAAUGAAGGAUCCAGACAGGAUCUCAUAAAUCCUUCUGACUGUAAAAUUCUAUGAUUUGCAGGUAAUGGUGAGCAUAUUUCAGGCAAGCUGUCACCAAACAGCUGAUCCUGAGCUGGGAUCACCCGGGGAAUGGGCUGGUUCCUCUCAAUAGGUGUCCUUUACAGAGUUCACCACCCUUUCCCGCUCUGGGGAGGGGAACAUGGAUGGGUCACCCCGUCCCUCCUUAGCAGAUGGCCCAUUAGUGGGCACAGGACUCUGGGGAAACCAACAGCUGCUUCUCCUCCAGGGUGGGCCCUGUCCCUUGGGGAGAGGCUGUGUCCCUCAGCAGCAUCAGGCUCACUUGGGUGAUAACCACUUGUCAAUCCUUGUGGUGAAGGGAAGGGCAUGGUCUCUAUGGUCAUCGUCCAGAGCUGCAUUAAGGGCAAGAGGCAACUGAGCCCCCUCUGCAGUGCUCAUCUGUCAGCGGUGCUAAAAAACGAUCGGAAUCAAUCAGAAAUAUGGUGCCAACUAAGCCAGGUUUCCACAGACAUGCCUCCUUACGUCACGUGACUACCAAAUUCAGUCAGUCCUGCUUCCACUAACGCCGGCAGGCCCUGGAAGGGGAAGAUAUAGCUCUGCAGAUGUGGAUAUUCUGUUGAGCUUUCUUUGAGACACCAAUGCAAAUUUCACUCUGCAGCUCUAAUUCUGAAACCAAAUAAUGCAUGGCACAAUCUCUCUCAGAGGAAGGACUUUAUUAUCUAAACCAGAUCUAAAUCCUUUAAUAUACCCUCAGUUGUCCAGUUUGAGAAAAAAAAAAAAUUUAACUUCAAAACAAGCACCUAGCUACAAAUAGAUAUGGCUCCAGCUUACCAAGCACAUCCUUCACCUUAGCUCAUCCUGGAGGCUGUGUGAACCUGUGCUCAGGCUUUGGAUUCAGACCGGAGUUUGAAUCCUGACUUCACUACAGGGGGAUCAUGAGGAAGUUUAUUUUGUCUUUGAGCCUGUUUUCUCAUCUGUAAAAUGGGGAUGAAAACAGGAUUCCUCUUAGGGCUAUGUAAACUAAGCGACAUGCUGUAAAUGGUUGGCAGGGUAGGGAGGUGCUCAGUGCGUGACUGUUAACCAGCGCUGACAGUACCCUUCAGUGGGAGAGGAAGGCACCCUCAUAAGAUGGGGACACUCGUUUUUACGGUAGCUGGCAGUGAAGCCAACUUCUCGUAUAGCUGUGGUUUUAUGGAUCCUAGUUCUUCAGCAGGGGCUCCUGCCGAGAGUCCACACUCUCAGCCAAGGGCUUUGGAGCCUAGUUGGCAUCUUAUCGCAAAGCCACCUAUGUAAGUCUCACCACACACAAGGUGCACUUCCUGCGUACGAGGUUCUAGCAUGCAAGACACAUCCACUCAAUCCAAACUCGGGCUGAAAUCUCUUCUAAAGGUACUCAACUAUAGCUUCCUUUUGCUCCUCUGCGACUUGAGCUAUAGCUGAAAAACACGCAGCUGUAACCAGAAAGUGGGUGACCAGAUUUAACCACGCCCACCUCAGGACAAGUGUCCCAAAGCCCGGUCCCCCCUCGUCAGGGCUGCGGUUCUGCCUCCUGAUGAAGGGCAGCAGGCAGCUCUUAACCCACUUUGCUUGGUGAGGCUUCAGUCUGGGGACUGGAAUCUCUAAUUAGAAUUUCCUCAUUCAUCAGAGGGCAUCUUUAUUUGUGGUAAUAAAAUGGGGACAGAGCAUAACCUCUCAAACCCAACAGCCAUACCUUUGACAAACAUUUCCCAAUGGCAGUGGGAAUCCGCGAUGGCGACUGAGUCACAGACUGCACCCGAAUGACAAAAGUUACGUUUAAUUUACAAUGUAAUAAAGGUUACAGGUAAAAAGCUACACAUAAAGCAUGAAAAGGCCUAUUACACA